RNAcentral lists this ribosomal RNA (253 nucleotides) under uncultured bacterium. RNAcentral's name for it is "partial 16S ribosomal RNA". It matches the Rfam family "Bacterial small subunit ribosomal RNA", at positions 524 to 776 of the family's 1533-position model. The record is from RNAcentral.
UACGUAGGGGGCUAGCGUUGUCCGGAUUUAUUGGGCGUAAAGAGCGUGUAGGCGGCCAGGUAGGUCUGGUGUGAAAACUCGAGGCUUAACCUCGAGAUGUCAUCGGAAACCAUCUGGCUAGAGUCCGGAAGAGGAGAGUGGAAUUCCUGGUGUAGCGGUGAAAUGCGCAGAUAUCAGGAAGAACACCGGUGGCGAAGGCGGCUCUCUGGACCACAACUGACGCUGAGGCGCGAAAGCUAGGGGAGCAAACAGG